RNAcentral lists this non-coding RNA (120 nucleotides) under Nitrincola nitratireducens. RNAcentral's name for it is "TPP sequence". It matches the Rfam family "TPP riboswitch aptamer (THI element)". Rfam says of the family: Vitamin B(1) in its active form thiamin pyrophosphate (TPP) is an essential coenzyme that is synthesised by coupling of pyrimidine and thiazole moieties in bacteria. The previously detected thiamin-regulatory element, thi box was extended, resulting in a new, highly conserved RNA secondary structure, the THI element, which is widely distributed in eubacteria and also occurs in some archaea. Analysis of operon structures identified a large number of new candidate thiamin-regulated genes, mostly transporters, in various prokaryotic organisms. The record is from RNAcentral. Lineage: Bacteria; Pseudomonadati; Pseudomonadota; Gammaproteobacteria; Oceanospirillales; Oceanospirillaceae.
CGAGUCUCAUCGGGGUGCCAAAACUGUGCAGGUUUAAUCUGUCGAGCGGUUGGCUGAGAGUAUACACCCGUUGAACCUGAUCCGGUUAGCACCGGCGUAGGGAUUGAGCCAUGCCUUGCU